GAACCCAAACCCAAAGAGGCAAAGAGAAAAUUUAACUCAGAAAAAAAGAAGAAAAAGAAAAUUCCUACAGCAGCAGCAGCUCUGCUCUGAUGGCUGAUGGCUUGACUUGCGAAGGAAGGCGGUAAAAGCACAGCCACGUGCCUUUCGUGCCCUGUUUGCUUUGCUUGACUGAAAGGAACAGUUCUUCCGUCUCUGUUGAUUGCUAGUCUUUUUGGGAGCUUCGUGUUUAAUGGAUAUAUUUAUCUUGUGGGCGGAAAAUAUAUAUCUUUUUGGUUGGUUUUGAUUAAUUUAAAGAAGGGGACUGCAGGAGGUUUUCAAUUUCCUGAUGAUGAGUGAUAAAAAAAGUUCUGUCUUAAGUUAUUCAUGUUUUUCGGAUGUGUUCUUCGUGAGGUUCCUGGGUAUUCCUGACAAUGCAUGCUUCUGAAUGCAGUGCUAGUUUUUGGUGUUUGUUCAAUGUUUUCUUUCGGUUUGAUGUUGGGAGAGAGCAUGAGUCUCAGACCUGUUAGUAACGGUUUAACGAGGGACAGGAUUAGAUUAGCCUUUGGUGGGACAUCCUUGAUUCUUAUAAAGAUUCGUUUUUUUUUUUUUUGGGGGGUGGGGUGGGGGGUGCUAUAAUCAAAACACUCGAGCUAGCUGUAGCACAGUUAUGUCAGGAUUCUUCUGGUUCCUAGUUGUGAGCUGCACAGUAAAGGAAUCAUUUCAACAUUAUUGGAAUCUGGACUGAGAACAAAUUCCAGUUGUAUGAGAUGCCUGAAAGACUUCUUCUUGCAAACGGUCGGCCCCCCAUGUUUCCAUUGACCAAUUGGAAUUGGAUCAUAACCUGUCUUUCACCCUGCAAAUCUUUCCUUCAGCGUAUCACUGGUGGAGAUCUUUUCAGUGAUAUGAUUUCGGGUGAAUCAGAAUUAUCUUUCUGGUCUCUGGUUCUCAAACAGCAUCCGUGAUUGUUCCCAGGAUAGUAGCAUCAGACUUAUCAGGGACCGAUGGGGCCUCCCCAUAAUUCAGCUGUGGCCAAAGGUAGAAGACCACCCGGGCCAUUUACGGGUCCAUCUGACACGUGAACUCAGGCUAUGAUUUGUGUUCUUGGGGACCCUUGUGGCCACCACAACAGGGAGAACUCCACCUUAGGCGUGCGGAGGCCAAUUUUCCCAGCGUCUGAACUCAACUGGAGACCGUAUGGGCGGCCAAAUGGGCUCCAUGGAGACCCUUUUGAGAGCACAGACCCAUUACCAUCACCGAUCAGCAGAUCGACACGACAUGAUGCCACGUCAAGAGAUAUCCCAGGAACUCAAUUGGCCUGCUGAAGAUCGGGGGCUGGCGAAUCAGGGUGAACCAAGUGACUAUGCUCCGUACCUGGGACAUAGGGAAGCAGGGGUACCUCUUGAGACUAGGAAGAGCUUCGAUCGAAUCUUGCAUCUGUAUGGAAUCCUGAAGCAGCUUUGUUAUCCGAUCCAGAAAUUUCCGAGGGUCGUGACUUCAUGGCUGUUUUCUGGCUCAACAUUAUUUGCUAAUGAGAUUCAAAACGAUCAUCGUGUCUGGUAUAGUCUAGUUUUAUGCUGCGAUUCCUUUUCCAAUAUAGUUUUCCAGUCUUUUCUACUGGACAUUGCAUUAGAGUUCAUGUUCCUGUUCCACACAUAACAUUAGGAUUCGGUUUUUAAGGGCGCCCGGGUACAUAUAUUUGGGCCUAUGUCCGUUAUGUCCGAAAAUCGUUGACGUGUCAUUUUUUUUCCUCGAGCCUAUAUAGUUUCCACCCGGAACAUUUUGGUCAUUCUACUAUUAUAUGAGACGGGGGGAUUGUAGAGAUGGAAUUUGUGGGGACAGGACAGGAUUUGAGAUAUGGUCGUCAGUUCAGUUCCUGCCUUCCUCUUUCCUUGUAUUUGCAUGCAAAGCCGACGUCAAAAAAGCAAGUCUUUCUGCACAUGCUUCUUUUCCUGCAACAACUUUUUGUGCCCAAAGCUUUCUUUAAUGGCUUCCAUAUUUAUUUAUGUAUAUGUAUAUGUA
Molecule: non-coding RNA, 1998 nt
Organism: Punica granatum (pomegranate)
Lineage: Eukaryota; Viridiplantae; Streptophyta; Magnoliopsida; Myrtales; Lythraceae
Source: RefSeq, a predicted model, not a curated record